GUGGGGAAUUUUGGACAAUGGGCGCAAGCCUGAUCCAGCAAUGCCGCGUGCAGGAAGAAGGCCUUCGGGUUGUAAACUGCUUUUGUACGGAACGAAACGGUCCUGGUUAAUACCUGGGGCUAAUGACGGUACCGUAAGAAUAAGCACCGGCUAACUACGUGCCAGCAGCCGCGGUAAUACGUAGGGUGCGAGCGUUAAUCGGAAUUACUGGGCGUAAAGCGUGCGCAGGCGGUGCUGUAAGACAGGCGUGAAAUCCCCGGGCUCAACCUGGGAAUUGCGCUUGUGACUGCAGUGCUGGAGUACGGCAGAGGGGGAUGGAAUUCCGCGUGUAGCAGUGAAAUGCGUAGAUAUGCGGAGGAACACCGAUGGCGAAGGCAGUCCCCUGGGCCUGUACUGACGCUCAUGCACGAAAGCGUGGGGAACAAACAGGAUUAGAAACCCUGGUAGUCC
Molecule: ribosomal RNA, 450 nt
Filed under: uncultured bacterium
Lineage: Bacteria
Description: partial 16S ribosomal RNA
Rfam family: Bacterial small subunit ribosomal RNA
Source: RNAcentral